This 861-nucleotide ribosomal RNA is filed under the name uncultured archaeon. RNAcentral describes it as "bacterial SSU rRNA". It matches the Rfam family "Archaeal small subunit ribosomal RNA", at positions 474 to 1337 of the family's 1478-position model. The record is from RNAcentral.
CACCCGCAGCUCGAGUGGUGGUCACUUUUAUUGAGCCUAAAGCGUUUGUAGCCGGUUUUGCAAAUCUUCAGAUAAAUUCCUCUGCUUAACAGAUGAUCUUCUGAAGAGACUGCGAGACUUGGGACCGGGUGAGGUUGAAGGUACUUCCGGGGUAGGGGUAAAAUCCUGUAAUCCUGGAAGGACGACCGGUGGCGAAGGCGUUCAACUAGAACGGAUCCGACGGUGAGGAACGAGGGCUAGGGUAGCAAACCGGAUUAGAUACCCGGGUAGUCCUAGCUGUAAACACUGCCCACUUGGUGUUGCCCCUCCGAUGAGGGGAGGCAGUGCCGGAGCGAAGGUGUUAAGUGGGCCGCUUGGGGAGUAUGGUCGCAAGGCUGAAACUUAAAGGAAUUGGCGGGGGAGCACCGCAACGGGAGGAGCGUGCGGUUUAAUUGGAUUCAACGCCGGAAAACUCACCGGGAGCGACCUUUGGAUGAGAGUCAGCCUGAUGAGCUUACUCGAUAGAAGGAGAGGUGGUGCAUGGCCGUCGUCAGCUCGUACCGUAGGGCGUUCACUUAAGUGUGAUAACGAGCGAGACCCCCAUCUCUAAUUGCUAACGUGCAUUCGCGUGCACGCGCACUUUAGAGGGACCGCCAGUGCUAAACUGGAGGAAGGAGGGGUCGACGGCAGGUCAGCACGCCCCGAAUCUCCCGGGCAACACGCGCGCUACAAAGGGCAGGACAAUGAGUUGCCACCUCGAAAGGGGGAGCUAAUCUCGAAACCUGUUCGUAGUUAGGAUUGAGGGCUGUAACUCGCCCUCAUGAAUGUGGAUUCCGUAGUACUCGCGGGUCAACAGCCCGCGGUGAAUAUGCCCCUGCUCCU